ACAGAGGGUGCAAACGUUGUUCGGAAUUACUGGGCGUAAAGCGCGUGUAGGCGGACCUGUAAGUUGGACGUGAAAUCCCUCAGCUUAACUGGGGAACUGCGUCUGAGACUGGUGGGCUUGAGUGCAGGAGAGGAACGCGGAAUUCCAGGUGUAGCGGUGAAAUGCGUAGAUAUCUGGAGGAACACCGGUGGCGAAGGCGGCGUUCUGGACUGCUACUGACACUGAGGAACGAAAGCCAGGGGAGCAAACGGGA
RNAcentral lists this ribosomal RNA (253 nucleotides) under uncultured prokaryote. Its description in RNAcentral is "partial 16S ribosomal RNA". It matches the Rfam family "Bacterial small subunit ribosomal RNA", at positions 525 to 777 of the family's 1533-position model. The record is from RNAcentral.